UACGGAGGGUGCAAGCGUUAUCCGGAUUUACUGGGUUUAAAGGGUGCGUAGGCGGGCAGGUAAGUCCGUGGUGAAAUCCCUGAGCUUAACUCAGAAACUGCCAUGGAUACUAUUUGUCUUGAAUAUUGUGGAGGUAAGCGGAAUAUGUCAUGUAGCGGUGAAAUGCUUAGAUAUGACAUAGAACACCAAUUGCGAAGGCAGCUUACUACACAGUUAUUGACGCUGAGGCACGAAAGCGUGGGGAUCAAACAGG
This 253-nucleotide ribosomal RNA is filed under the name uncultured bacterium. Its description in RNAcentral is "partial 16S ribosomal RNA". It matches the Rfam family "Bacterial small subunit ribosomal RNA", at positions 524 to 776 of the family's 1533-position model. The record is from RNAcentral.